GGCCCGCCGGCGGCCUUACCGCCUCCACGGCGUGCUGCAGGAUGGAGGUGAACUUGGAGAACAUCCUGUCCCGCGAUUGCAGCAGCCGCUGCCGGGAGGACCUCGAGAACUCCUCGAUCCGCCGCCGCCGCUCCAGGGCAUGGAAAGCUGCAGCCCAAAUACUCCAUGGAAGUAAAUACUAGUUGUACGUGGACACCUUUGUUGCAGUUGUUAAAGAGCAGAUCUAUUUUCUUCUUAAAAUCCACAGGUCCCAAUAUGUCAAUAUCAAUUUAAAAGGGAUGAUUCAAUUGGAGAUGAUGCAGUUAUGGAUGGGCUGCCAAUGUCAUGUCAUGUGCAACAAUGUAUCUUCACCUGCUCAUGCUUGAUGUUGUUUCCACUGAAAUAAACACAAGUACUACUACCUAUUUUAGUACCCUUGAGAGCCCAGUUCUGCUGACUUGGGGUUGAUUUUUUUU
Molecule: long non-coding RNA, 455 nt
Organism: Hirundo rustica (Barn swallow)
Lineage: Eukaryota; Metazoa; Chordata; Aves; Passeriformes; Hirundinidae
Exons: 3
Source: RefSeq, a predicted model, not a curated record